Molecule: ribosomal RNA, 433 nt
Filed under: uncultured bacterium
Lineage: Bacteria
Description: partial 16S ribosomal RNA
Rfam family: Bacterial small subunit ribosomal RNA
Source: RNAcentral
AACGAACGCUGGCGGCAUGCCUAACACAUGCAAGUCGAACGAAGGCUUCGGCCUUAGUGGCGCACUGGAGCGUAAGGGGUGGGAAUCGGCCCGUUUGUUGGGAAUAACUGCUGGAAAGGGCUGCUAAUACCGGAUGAUUACGAAAGUCCAAUGAUGUAUCGCAAGAGGAUGAGCCCGCGUUAGAUUAGGUAGUUGGUGGGGUAAAGGACUACCAAGCCGACGAUCCCUAGCUGGUGUGAGAGGAUGAUCAGCCACACUGGGACUGAGACACGGCCCAGAUUCCUACGAGAGGCAGCAGGGGGGAAUAUGCGACACUGGGCGCAAGCCUGAGCCAGCAAUGCCGCGUGAGUGAGGAAGGCCCUAGGAUUGUAAAGCUCUGUUACCCGCGAAGCUAAUGACGGUAACGGGAGAAUAAGCCCCGGCUAACUACGUG